Molecule: ribosomal RNA, 467 nt
Filed under: uncultured bacterium
Lineage: Bacteria
Description: partial 16S ribosomal RNA
Rfam family: Bacterial small subunit ribosomal RNA
Source: RNAcentral
GACGAACGCUGGCGGCGUGCUUAACACAUGCAAGUCGAACGGAAAGGCCCUGCUUUUGUGGGGUGCUCGAGUGGCGAACGGGUGAGUAACACGUGAGUAACCUGCCCUUGACUUUGGGAUAACUUCAGGAAACUGGGGCUAAUACCGGAUCGGAGCUCCUGCUGCAUGGUGGGUUUGGAACGUUUCGGCGGUUGGGGAUGGACUCGCGGCUUAUCAGCUUGUUGGUGGGGUAGUGGCUUACCAAGGCUUUGACGGGUAGCCGGCCUGAGAGGGUGACCGGCCACAGUGGGACUGAGAUACGGCCCAGACUCCUACGGGAGGCAGCAGUGGGGAAUAUUGCACAAUGGGCGGAAGCCUGAUGCAGCAACGCCGCGUGCGGGAUGACGGCCUUCGGGUUGUAAACCGCUUUCGCCUGUGACGAAGCGUGAGUGACGGUAAUGGGUAAAGAAGCACCGGCUAACUACGUG